This 267-nucleotide ribosomal RNA is filed under the name uncultured Spirochaeta sp. RNAcentral describes it as "partial 16S ribosomal RNA". It matches the Rfam family "Bacterial small subunit ribosomal RNA", at positions 1114 to 1382 of the family's 1533-position model. The record is from RNAcentral. Lineage: Bacteria; Pseudomonadati; Spirochaetota; Spirochaetia; Spirochaetales; Spirochaetaceae.
GUUGCCACCACGAGAGUGGGGACUCAGGCGGAACUGCCGGUGACAAACCGGAGGAAGGUGGGGACGACGUCAAGUCAUCAUGGCCCUUAUGUCCUGGGCUACACACGUGCUACAAUGGCCGGUACAGAGCGCAGCGAGGCCGCGAGGCGGAGCGAAUCGCUUAAAGCCGGUCCCAGUACGGAUUGGAGUCUGCAACCCGACUCCAUGAAGUUGGAAUCGCUAGUAAUCGCGCAUCAGCAUGGCGCGGUGAAUACGUUCCCGGGCCUU